CUCUCUCCCUCUCUCUAAAAUUCUCUCUCUCACCAUUUUCUCUCUCCUCAAAAAACUACCAUUAAAGCUUAGAAAAGGUCGAUGAAGCUUCAAUUCGCUGAUUUCAGAAGGAGAACAAUCCUAAAAUCGGGGUGAAAAACCUACGAACGGAGAAGGUAAACAACAAUAUGCAAAUUUCUAACUAUUCGCUUGUUUUUUAGAAUUUAAUUUAAGUUAAUUUGUGGUUACUUUUGAUUUUAAAGAAAAAUAUGAAAAGUGAAGAUGAAAUUGCGAAAAAAGAUUGACGAAAAACACAAUUCAGAUUCAGAAGAUAGAGAAGAAUCGUAGAGAUAAUUCAAUCACGAAAAUGAGAUUAAACGCUUCAAAACAUCAGAGCCACGACGCACUGGUAUCCCUACUGUCGAACAAGCAUUUCUGAAGGACAUCCUUGAAAAUGCUGGUUUGAGAAAAUGAAGAUAUUGAAGGUUGAGUAUUGUGGCAAGAUAUUGGCGCGUAGGGAAAAUGAUGGACAUCAUGUUAUGAUUCCAAAGUCAAGGAAAUGGGCAACAAAGAAUCAAAUUUUUAACGGGAUCAUAGUGUCUUUGUAACAUCAAAUGUUGAAUUUCUUGUAAAUACUUUAUGUUGAAUUCGUAAAAUUGGUAAACCGACAAUUUCGAUAUUAGUUGGUUUUUAUCAACUUGUAAUGAUUCAUUUGCUUGAAGUUUUAACCUUGUUUGAAGUUUAUUUUGACGAAUAGACUCGUGAUGUGAUA
Molecule: long non-coding RNA, 751 nt
Organism: Spinacia oleracea (spinach)
Lineage: Eukaryota; Viridiplantae; Streptophyta; Magnoliopsida; Caryophyllales; Amaranthaceae
Exons: 4
Source: RefSeq, a predicted model, not a curated record